Molecule: ribosomal RNA, 498 nt
Filed under: uncultured bacterium
Lineage: Bacteria
Description: partial 16S ribosomal RNA
Rfam family: Bacterial small subunit ribosomal RNA
Source: RNAcentral
AUUGAACGCUGGCAGCAUGCCUUACACAUGCAAGUCGAACGGUAGAAGGGGCAACCCUUUGAGAGUGGCGAACGGGUGAGUAAAGCAUCGGAACGUGCCCAGUAGUGGGGGAUAGCCCGGCGAAAGCCGGAUUAAUACCGCAUACGACCUACGGGUGAAAGCGGGGGACUCGCAAGAGCCUCGCGCUAUUGGAGCGGCCGAUGUCAGAUUAGGUAGUUGGUGGGGUAAAGGCCUACCGAGCCGACGAUCUGUAGCUGGUCUGAGAGGACGACCAGCCACACUGGGACUGAGACACGGCCCAGACUCCUACGGGAGGCAGCAGUGGGGAAUUUUGGACAAUGGACGAAAGUCUGAUCCAGCCAUGCCGCGUGCAGGAAGAAGGCCUUCGGGUUGUAAACUGCUUUUGUCAGGGAAGAAAUCUUCUGGGCUAAUACCCUGGGAGGAUGACGGUACCUGAAGAAUAAGCACCGGCUAACUACGUGCCAGCAGCCGCAGUAA